CAGUAGCCGCGGUAAUACGUAGGGUGCAAGCGUUAAUCGGAAUUACUGGGCGUAAAGGGUGCGUAGGCGGUUUGGCAAGUCUUGUGUGAAAUCUUCGGGCUCAACCCGAAGCCUGCACGAGAAACUGCCGGGCUUGAGUGUGGGAGAGGUGAGUGGAAUUCCCGGUGUAGCGGUGAAAUGCGUUGAGAUCGGAAAGAACACCAACGGCGAAAGCACUCUGCUGGGCCGACGUUGACACUGAGAGACGAACGCUAGGGGAGAAAAUGGGAUUAGAUACCCGUGUAGUCCCUGUCUCUUAUAC
This 301-nucleotide ribosomal RNA is filed under the name uncultured bacterium. RNAcentral's name for it is "partial 16S ribosomal RNA". It matches the Rfam family "Bacterial small subunit ribosomal RNA", at positions 509 to 807 of the family's 1533-position model. The record is from RNAcentral.